GAUGAAGAACGCAGCGAAAUGCGAUAAGUAAUGUGAAUUGCAGAAUUCAGUGAAUCAUCGAAUCUUUGAACGCACAUUGCGCCCUCUGGUAUUCCGGGGGGCAUGCCUGUUCGAGCGUCAUUAUAACCACUCAAGCUCUCGCUUGGUAUUGGGGUUCGCGGUUUCGCGGCCCCUAAAAUCAGUGGCGGUGCCUGUCGGCUCUACGCGUAGUAAUACUUCUCGCGAUUGAGUUCGAUAGGUCUACUUGCCAGUAACCCCCAAUUUUUACAGGUUGACCUCGGAUCAGGUAGGGAUACCCGCUGAACUUAAGCAUAUCAAUAAGCGGAGGA
Molecule: unclassified non-coding RNA, 329 nt
Filed under: soil metagenome
Description: partial contains 5.8S ribosomal RNA, internal transcribed spacer 2, and large subunit ribosomal RNA
Rfam family: 5.8S ribosomal RNA (bases 1-120)
Source: RNAcentral